GACGAACGCUGGCGGCGUGCUUAACACAUGCAAGUCGAACGGAAAGGCCCUGCUUUUGUGGGGUGCUCGAGUGGCGAACGGGUGAGUAACACGUGAGUAACCUGCCCUUGACUUUGGGAUAACUUCAGGAAACUGGGGCUAAUACCGGAUAGGAGCUCCUGCUGCAUGGUGGGGGUUGGAAAGUUUCGGCGGUUGGGGAUGGACUCGCGGCUUAUCAGCUUGUUGGUGGGGUAGUGGCUUACCAAGGGUUUGACGGGUAGCCGGCCUGAGAGGGUGACCGGCCAAAGUGGGACGGAGAGACGGACCAGACUACUACGGGAGGAAGCAGUGGGGAAGAGUGCACAAUGGGCGGAAGCCUGAUGCAGCAACGCCGCGUGCGGGAUGACGGCCUUCGGGUUGUAAAACGCUUUCGCCUGUGACGAAGCGUGAGUGACGGUAAUGGGUAAAGAAGCACCGGCUAACUACGUG
RNAcentral lists this ribosomal RNA (468 nucleotides) under uncultured bacterium. RNAcentral describes it as "partial 16S ribosomal RNA". It matches the Rfam family "Bacterial small subunit ribosomal RNA", at positions 28 to 507 of the family's 1533-position model. The record is from RNAcentral.